GAUGAACGCUGGCUACAGGCUUAACACAUGCAAGUCGAGGGGAAACGACGGGGAAGCUUGCUUCCCCGGGCGUCGACCGGCGCACGGGUGAGUAACGCGUAUCCAACCUGCCUCUGACUGAGGGAUAACCCGUCGAAAGUCGGCCUAAUACCUCAUGGUAUCGUCUGCGGGCAUCCAACGACGAUUAAAGAUUUCAUCGGUCAGGGAUGGGGAUGCGUCUGAUUAGCUUGUUGGCGGGGUAACGGCCCACCAAGGCUACGAUCAGUAGGGGUUCUGAGAGGAAGGUCCCCCACAUUGGAACUGGGACACGGGCCACACUCCUACGGGAGGCAGCAGUGAGGAAGAUUGGUCAAUGGGCGAGAGCCUGAACCAGCCAAGUAGCGUGCAGGAAGACGGCCCUAUGGGUUGUAAACUGCUUUUAGGCGGGGAUAAAGUGAGGGACGUGUCCCUCAUUGCAGGUACCGCAUGAAUAAGGACCGGCUAAUUCCGUG
RNAcentral lists this ribosomal RNA (491 nucleotides) under uncultured bacterium. Its description in RNAcentral is "partial 16S ribosomal RNA". It matches the Rfam family "Bacterial small subunit ribosomal RNA", at positions 28 to 507 of the family's 1533-position model. The record is from RNAcentral.